Long non-coding RNA from Perca fluviatilis (European perch), 756 nucleotides. RefSeq lists it as uncharacterized. The transcript has 4 exons. The record is from RefSeq and is a predicted model, not a curated record. Lineage: Eukaryota; Metazoa; Chordata; Actinopteri; Perciformes; Percidae.
UCUGUCCUGUCGGGCUCAGAGAUCAGGGGCUUCCUCCGAGACUCAACAACCUGCAGACUGUCCUCAGAGACCGCCAUCACAUCCAGCAACCAUCCAGCCAGCCGACCAAUAACAGCAGGCAGACGCUUCUGGAACGGAUUGCCAAGGGGAAAAUUGUAAAAAAAAAACCCCGAAGAAGAUGAGAUGAAGUAUGAACCAGACCCCGGCUCAUCCAAAGAUGACCAGGAUGGAUUAGGGCCAUAAUGGACUGACUACCACGCUGGCCACACUACCUGUUUCCAGGAAGUUGAGGACCCAAAAGCAGAGAGCAGGCAGGCAGGCAACAUUUGAAGUGGAAGAUUUAUUAGUCCAUAAAACAAAGUACAAAUAAACAAAAGGGAGUCCUGAAAGCGGCAGGCAAAAAAACUAAUCCAGAGAGUAGAAAAAACCAAAACAGGAAAUCCAAAAAACAAGAGCAGAAUAAAAAACAGAAUCUAGAGAACAAAGGAAAUCCAAGGAGCAAAGAACCGGACACAAACUGACUCUGGGAGACACGACAGCCUACAUCAUGCGCUGUGGAACUCUAGAUGGAUGGACACCUGUGGAGAAGGCCAAGGUCAAAAAAGCCUUGAUUACCAAAUCCUGCAUGAGGACCGCAAAGACAUGGACAAUAUACAUUCUUGAAAGUGGCACACCAGAGAGGUGGACAGAUGUUGAGUUCAGAUUUUCAGAAGUUCUUGCUGCAAAUGUUCAGCGUCAGUAAAUGUAAACUGAAAG